RNAcentral lists this ribosomal RNA (520 nucleotides) under uncultured Glomus. RNAcentral's name for it is "SSU rRNA". It matches the Rfam family "Eukaryotic small subunit ribosomal RNA", at positions 569 to 1092 of the family's 1831-position model. The record is from RNAcentral. Lineage: Eukaryota; Fungi; Glomeromycota; Glomeromycetes; Glomerales; Glomeraceae.
AGCAGCCGCGGUAAUUCCAGCUCCAAUAGCGCAUAUUAAAGUUGCUGCAGUUAAAAAGCUCGUAGUUGAAUUUCGGGAUCAAUAUGUUGGUCGUGCCUCGGUACGUACUAGCUUAUUGGUUUCUCCCUUCUGACGAACCAUGAUGUCAUUUAUUUGGUGUUAUGGGAAAUCAGGACUGUUACUUUGAAAAAAUUAGAGUGUUUAAAGCAGGCUCACGCUUGAAUACAUUAGCAUGGAAUAAUGAAAUAGGACGUUUGAUUCUAUUUUGUUGGUUUCUAGGAUCGACGUAAUGAUUAAUAGGGAUAGUUGGGGGCAUUAGUAUUCAAUUGUCAGAGGUGAAAUUCUUGGAUUUAUUGAAGACUAACUACUGCGAAAGCAUUUGCCAAGGAUGUUUUCAUUAAUCAAGAACGAAAGUUAGGGGAUCGAAGACGAUCAGAUACCGUCGUAGUCUUAACCGUAAACUAUGCCGACUAGGGAUCGGAUGAUGUUAAUUUUUUAAUGACUCAUUCGGCGCCUUACG